Long non-coding RNA from Planococcus citri (citrus mealybug), 729 nucleotides. RefSeq lists it as uncharacterized. The record is from RefSeq and is a predicted model, not a curated record. NCBI's taxonomy places the organism in Eukaryota, Metazoa, Arthropoda, Insecta, Hemiptera, Pseudococcidae. The transcript has 2 exons.
AUUUCUUUCUAGCCACCUGUACGAGUAUUCGACUCUUGUUCGUAUAGAUAUAGGUACCUACUUCUUGGCAGAAAAUUAAACCGUUACCAUUUAUGGAAACAUUUUUAUCAAUUUUAAUUGCUGCAGUUUGGCUUAACAUCCAAUUUCCACUCGCACUAGGCGAUUCCAGCCCAUCGCCAGUUAUCUACAUAGCGAAAUGUAAUGGAAACUCAUACACAGUGGUAAAAAAUCGAGUCUACGAUGGUUCCAAAGUCCUCUAUCGAAUACCACCCGGUACUAAAUACCACCUACAAGGCUGCACCCUGUACUACGGCGAUGAACCAGCUUAUAAUAUUACAACCAAUAAACGUUACAUAGGAUCUUACCCAAGAAAACGUAAAAUACCCCAACGAAUAUUGUACGUCGAAAAUGGCAAACUGAUCAAGGUUAGAGAAGGGCGAAUUUACAUAGGAAAAUUUCGAGCUUACGAAGACGAUGAUUUGAAACGAGGCAAAGCCCACAUUUACCAAAAAGAUGGCAAUUUGUAUAUAAACUCGCAUGUGGUCAUGAAAAAAAAUCCAUACCAGCCGAAAAUAAAAAUACCAGACAUUGUGAAUCUGAAUUUAAAAGAUGCGAACGAAUUCCAAAUUAAAAUGAAGAAAAGUCAUAUACUUCAGUACAAUGAUAAACGAGGCCGCGAGCAGAUAUUUAUGAAUAUCGUUCAUAGUAAAUAAACCUCUCUCCAGUGUU